AUAAGUAUGAUUACAAUUCUGUUUUGCUUCUAACUUUCGAUAUUUUAGGGUUUGUUUAAUUAUAGUAAAGUCAAGAAAUGUAUUUUCAGAAUCUUUGUUUAAACGUUUGUCAAGCAAAAAUGGACCAUAAGAUCCUCAAAAGUUCCAACUGGUUCCAACAAAAGUUUUACAGAAGUAAUACUACUUGGUGGUUGAGGUAUAUGCAGUUUUUUCAUUGCACAACGUGCAUCAAAGUAAUCGGCUGUUUCAAGUUCAGUGCUGUGACGGACCAUUAGUUCUACCUUACCGACCAAGUCCUCUUUAAUAAAAUAAAUAAAGAAAGAAAGAAGCUAUUCUUAUUCCCAAGAUUCCAAACUCUGGUUCCAACCUCAAACAGAUGAGCAACUAAAAGAUUAUGGUUCCACAAAAGUUGUAAGAAGACUUCUAAGGUUCCCUAUUAUAAGAAAACGACUUCGAACGGUGAGUCUAUCCUUAUCUGUUCUUAAAUUACGGGCAAUUACGGGACAAUGGGAUUCGAAAUGAAAAGAGCACGUUGAUUACCCUCCACAGUGUAUUUGGUGACCUAGAUUGCAAUGAAAAUAUUAGGUAUAACAUCGAUGUACGAGAUACUUUUCAAUACGUUACUUAAAUAUCUAUGUAAGAUACCCAUAUUGUAUAAGUAGAUGACAAUAUUACGACUUCAUAAUAUUUGACUCAUUCGCUAACAAACAACAUUUAAUAUGGUUUUAUUUUGUUUUUUUUUUGUAUCAUUUUUUUGUUAUUUUUUUUUUUUACACGUAGAAUAUCAUAACGACAUUGACAAUAUAUAAUAUAUAUCUGCUUUUUACCGUAGUGUUUACAGAAUAUAAUAACGA
Long non-coding RNA from Hylaeus volcanicus, 854 nucleotides. RefSeq lists it as uncharacterized. The transcript has 2 exons. The record is from RefSeq and is a predicted model, not a curated record. NCBI's taxonomy places the organism in Eukaryota, Metazoa, Arthropoda, Insecta, Hymenoptera, Colletidae.